UACAGAGGUCUCAAGCGUUGUUCGGAUUCAUUGGGCGUAAAGGGUGCGUAGGCGGCUUGUCGCGUCGGGUGUGAAAGCCCGGAGCUUAACUCCGAAACUGCAUUCGAUACUGCCGUGCUUGAGGACUGGAGAGGAGACUGGAAUUUACGGUGUAGCGGUGAAAUGCGUAGAUAUCGUAAGGAAGGCCAGUGGCGAAGGCGGGUCUCUGGACAGUUCCUGACGCUGAGGCACGAAGGUCAGGGGAGCAAACGGG
This 253-nucleotide ribosomal RNA is filed under the name uncultured Spartobacteria bacterium. RNAcentral's name for it is "partial 16S ribosomal RNA". It matches the Rfam family "Bacterial small subunit ribosomal RNA", at positions 524 to 776 of the family's 1533-position model. The record is from RNAcentral. Lineage: Bacteria; Pseudomonadati; Verrucomicrobiota; Spartobacteria.